Molecule: RNase P RNA, 303 nt
Filed under: Polynucleobacter kasalickyi
Lineage: Bacteria; Pseudomonadati; Pseudomonadota; Betaproteobacteria; Burkholderiales; Burkholderiaceae
Description: Polynucleobacter sp. VK13 Bacterial RNase P class A
Rfam family: Bacterial RNase P class A
About the family: Ribonuclease P (RNase P) is a ubiquitous endoribonuclease, found in archaea, bacteria and eukarya as well as chloroplasts and mitochondria.
Source: Rfam by way of RNAcentral
AGAGUUGGUUAGGCAACCGCCGCUUGAAAAAGGGGAGGAAAGUCCGGACUCCAUAGAGUAGGGUGAUGGCUAACGGCCAUCCAUGGUGACAUGAGGAAUAGGGCCACAGAGACGAGCGUAUUUAGUUACGGUGAAACGCGGUAACCUCCACCCGGAGCAAUCUCAAAUAGGCAGGCGUUGAGGCGACUCGCUGAGCCUGCGGGUAGAGAGCUUGAACCCAUUGGUAACAAUGGGUCUAGAGGAAUGAUUGCCCCCGAACGAAAGUUCGGUCGACAGAAUCCGGCUUAUCGACCAACUCUGCCA